Long non-coding RNA from Thunnus maccoyii (southern bluefin tuna), 2156 nucleotides. RefSeq lists it as uncharacterized. The transcript has 4 exons. NCBI's taxonomy places the organism in Eukaryota, Metazoa, Chordata, Actinopteri, Scombriformes, Scombridae. The record is from RefSeq and is a predicted model, not a curated record.
GCUCCUUGAGCGUGCUCAGUCGCUUGCCUCAGAGAGUUAUCCUCCCUCCCUUUUCACUCAUCCUUUAUACUCAUUAAACAGAAUGGAGAUGUGUGAUAGAGCAGGAAGGCAGAGGGAGAAAGACAGAGUGAGAGGGUGAAAGAGAGACAAUUAGAUUCUCUGACACCCCGCUAAUUGAGCGAUCUCCUUUGUGCCCGGCCCAGCCUGCCAAGUUUUAAUUAGCAACUAAUCAAAUCAAUAUGGAGCCUGCCAAGCGAAGAGGAAGGCACCUAUCGUGGGAUGGCUGCCUGGAUCACAGCUGCCUUUGACCUUUGCAGCUGGAGGCUACGAAUGAUGAGGGCCAGUGGUGCCGAUGGUGGGUAGAUCUCUUUGUGAGAGAGGGAUUGAGUGAUUCUGAGAGAGGCGAGGUAAUGAUGUCUGGCAUUACCCAGCUGCUUCAGUGGCGAAGGAGGGAGCAGUGCACGCUUUGGUGAGCUCCAUGACCCUCUCAGCCUGUACUCUGAGUGCAUGUUCAUGAGUUUUGAGAGAGAGAUGAGAAUCUGAUCCUCUCCAAAAUGUGCCGAAAUCUAUGUCAGGUAGAACAUACACCUAUCAGCACAAUGAUGGGUGAAAUGCUGCAGCAGCAUGAGAGAGAGACAUGCACAUGCUUACACAAAGUGAAAUCAUCAUACAGGCAGGGUGUGAAAUUUAGAGGGUCUUGGGGAGAAGGGGUAUCAGGCAAACUACACUGACUAAUACACAUAAUCAAUAUGAGGCCACAUCCACUUAACUUUUGCUAUGAUUACGCCUAGCAUCCACACUACUCUGGUGUUUUCAGAAACCUAAAACGGAGACAUUCGAAAAUGCUGCGGAUCUCGUUUUAGUUGCAGGGUUUCAGGGUUGCGUUUUAGACUGGACGGGCAGAAACAAAUACCUUUGGAAACGAUGAAGCAGACACCCACAUUUACUUCCUGAUUGGGUAGUAUCAUUCAUGAUGUGCCGUUCCCUGAUUUGUCAUGCCUCUAUUACACUUUCCGGAAGAAAACAAACAUCAGCUUUGACUACCAGUGGUUCAUUCAACAUAGAUAACGAAUUACAAGCGUUUCUGCUAGCAGCUGUUGUGCAGUUAAAUUAUACCUUUUAUAAUGCCACUACUGCCAACAUGCACAGCUAUUAUUUGAGUGAUUUGUGACAAGACCCAUGUCCAGCAGUGUUAUCAACCCUACAUGGGGUGUUGGUUUUGGGUGAGGCCAGGAAGAACCAGUGCAUGCUGGGAUAAUUUUAUCAAUGAACUUGUGGUUCCUGAGGAAUGGCAAGAAAACUUUAGAAUGUCCAGAUCAGCCCUGAUGAACCUCAGUGAAAGACUACAUCUGUACAACAAAAAUGAGGGCGCCUGUGGGUGUACUUACAAAGGUAGCAUGCACGUUGUAUUACCUGAGUGACGAGGGAAGACUGAAAAAACGCUGAUGCAUUUGGACUAUCCCAGCAAGUUGUUUCAGUCAUAAUCUGACAAGUCUGAAGGCCAUCACCAUCCUCACUGAGCACAAAACCCAAAGUGAAGGAUCUUCUUGUCAACUUCUACCAAACACACAGUAUGCCACAAUGCUUGGGAGACAUUGACUGCACACACAUCAAAGUAAAAUAACCCUACAUCUACAGGAAAGGGAAACAUUCUUUUAAUGUACCUUGUCCCUUUGCUUCUUCUGGGUGAUCCAGUCUAUCCCCUGAUGACGUACCUCAUGAAAGAAUACCCCAAAUGGUGGAGUUAUUGCACAGGAGCAGUGUUAUGGGCUAUCACUUUGCAAGGCUCACAUGGUAAUCGAGUGUUCAUUAGGAUGUUUGAAGGCAUGGUUUGUGGCUUCAAGGACAAUGGACAUAAACAUGGAGGAUUCUCAUUUUGUUAUCUAUGCUUGUUUUGCUCAGCACAACUAUUGUGAAGUUCACAAAGAAACUAUAAACAAACAAAACAUAAAUGCUACUCUCCAGUACGACAGGGACUUCCAACCACCUAGCAGAGCUACUAGUUUGUGAAGAACAAGGAGAGAGGAAACGAGUGAGAUGUGUGUUGACCAAAAUUCUUAAUUUUUUUAAGUAAAUUUGAUGUGUGUGAGAGAGAGAUAGAGCAAGACCUAGGCUAAUAACCCUAGUAGCGGCCUAGUUGUAUUGGAGUAUCUUUG